This 18182-nucleotide long non-coding RNA is filed under the name Sorghum bicolor (sorghum). RNAcentral describes it as "long non-coding RNA (SBIC_LNC002954)". Lineage: Eukaryota; Viridiplantae; Streptophyta; Magnoliopsida; Poales; Poaceae. The record is from RNAcentral.
AACACGAUGCACAACCGCUAAGAAAGGAAAGCUUCAACAAGGUGAUACUAUACCAUCACUCUUCAAGUAAGGUAACAUCUUAAGGUACUUUAUUAUCACUUUUAUAAGAUUUUCCUUGGUUUUGGCGUUCACAUGAAUAAAAGAGACAAACAUGUAUGAUUUUACUCUAGAUUAACCAACCCAAUCGAUUCAAUAUGUUUAGUCCUUCCACCUUUGUGAUCCUACACUCCUAAUCAUACAAGCUAAAAUGUUGCACACUCAAUCUUUGGAAGAUAUAAACAAAACAUAAGUAUAGAUAGAUUAUCUUUCCAUUAGGUUGAGCGAUCUGAUCUGACAAAUGUUUUAAAUGCUAUACUCAUGAUCUUAUUAUCCAUCAACUUUGUCUUGUUCACUAUGCUUAAGGUUAGAGAAGAACAAAUACACUUUUGGUUCUGUUGGUGUUUUCCACCAACAGGGCCCAUGCACUUGAUCUCUGCCUUGUCUCUAUGAGCAGGUACACUUCGAGCAAAAUAUGAAGGACUUUUACAACUCCCAGACUCCACCAAGUGAAGAACCUAGAUCUACGAGCACAAACACACUGGAGAUACUGGACACUCAGGCAAUCACUGCCCUGAGAUGCUUAAGGACGUAACUACUGGAGUAACCCCGUUGUGGAAGUAAUUACUGACCUUCUGCCGGUCAAGAGAGACAAACCAGGACGCCCCGUCAUCCCGAUCUCCAUCGGCAUGGUGGACUUCCUAGAAGCACUCUAUGACUUUUGCUCCAGCGUCAACAUUAUGGCCAGGCUUGCAGAUCGUACGCUAAGUUUCCCAAAGAGAAUAGUGAAGAACCUCUGCGUCCGAGUUGGUACCUUGUACGCCCCAGCAGACUUUGUAGUGAUAGAAACUGGUACUGAUGAGAAGGCACCCAUCAUCAUACGGAGGCCAUUCCUGAACACCUCGGGAGCUCUCAUCUACGCUAGUGCUGCCAAGAUCAGUUUCUACAUCAAGGGGAGGAAGGAGACGUUUUCCUUCGAGAACAAGAUUACACAAAUCUCAGAGCAAUCUAGACAUGAACCAAGGAAGAGGACCAACAGGAGGGACAGGAACAAGCAAAUGUGGACCAAGUCAACUAAGAUGGUCACUGCAGUUCAAGGAGGUCAAGAUUGUCGAUUUAAAUCACCGUUCCUGACCAAAAAGGACGAUUCAGAUAUCCCAAGCAUCUAGUGCUCCAUUAAUGGAUACAACUUCCAGAAGAUGCUUUGCAACACUGGAUGGCAGAUCAAACAUUCCGAAAGAUUGAAGGUUAUUAACAUGGGAGAAGACGAGCACGAUCCACCCAUCAUCCUUGGAAGACCGUUCCUCAGCACCGUUAAAGCAAUCAUCUACAUUGGAACUCGAGAAGUCCACAUGCAUUUCCCCUCUGAGAAGGUACGCUGCUAUUUUACUGACCCUAACUAUAUAGUUGAAGACUCUAAGCAGGUCAGGACAAGAAGAAGACAACGCAACCGCAACCAGAGGAGGCAAAUCAUCAAGGACGGAUGGGCAGACUAUGAAGAAGAAGUGGUAAGACCUGAAGACAUACAGCUUGAACAGAACUGUCCUAAGGAGACCAUAGCACCGAGUCAGGUGUGUAGAGAGAAGAUAGUUAUAUAUGAAGAGCAGGCGCCGCCGGAACCACCGACUACGCCAUUCAGCGAAUCCCAGGACGACUCAGAAAACGGAGAGUCCCGUUCGGAGGACUUAAAAGCACCGAACGCCUUGCCAAGAGGUAAACUUGGUAGUUAUCUUUUUCCUUUCAACUAUUUAAAAUAGUUUGCUUAGUUAAUCAGGUUCAUAACAUCUUGAAAAGAAAAUAAAAAUGUUAAAAAUAGUAAGCCCCAUGUGAGUAUGCUCAUGGCAUAAAACCCAUAAGUACAUUCACUGUGGUGGCAUAAAAAUAAAAUAAAUAUAUUCCUAUCCUAUAAAAAUGAAAAUAUAAAAAUAAAUUUAUGAUCCUACCAAAGAGUGUAACAUUUAUUGAGGAAGCUCAACAUGAUAAAGGCUAGAUAUUUAUGCUAACACCUAAUCAGUUUCAUAAAGCUUUGUUGUCUAUUUGAGCUCCACAGAAUUCAAGGAUCAAAGAAGACUAGCAGACGGAGGACAUCCUAAUCACUGUCAGGGUGCUGCCGACAUUCAAACACACCUCCGCCACCUGCUAGCUACAUCAGAAGAAAUUGCGUCAAAUCCAGUUUGGGGGAGAGCACCUCCAUUUAUCCAGCUAAGUGUUCUACUCAUGUUUAUACUUUACUCUAAUAAUAAAAAGAUGCAUAAUCAUAUAAACCCAAAUAAAGAUUUUGUGCUUAUAUAUAUAUCUUUGCUUAGUUUGCUAAAUAAAUAAAUAAAUAAAGUUUGCUAUGAACCCUCAUGAUAAGCUCUCACAUGGAAAUGAUGAGUAGUUGCUCUGCCAUGACUAGUUCUCAAAAUUGAAAUCUCCUCCUAAGUUUAGGCCUGACUGUUAUUAAGUAAGUUUUGCUCUAAACCUGAACUUGUGGGGAGAGUACUUGAUCUGAAAUCUAAGUCGUUAACGGAUAUGAUAUGGGAAGGUUGAGCUGCUGUUUAUCUAUUUCUAUAGAUGCUAGAAUUCUGGAGAAUUUUAUCUUUGAAAAUCUUUAAAAUGUUGCAUGAUGAGUUCCUGUAUGAUGAGAGUUUAAAUUCCUACCACAGCCAUAUAUACAUGCUUAUUAGAUUAUGAACCACAUAUCUACUUUACUGCUUAUGAGCAUUGAGUGUGGUCAAGCUGUGUAGACCCUUAGGAGCUUGUCAUGUGGUUAAAUCAAGAUUCACAUGCACGUUCACUCACAUGUGUUGCUUCUACUCCGGAAGUACGCAUCCACAUAUAUCCACUCACUUCCAUCUCCAGAGCCACCCAAAAUUAUUCUACUCCUAAUUCGGGAGAGAAUAGCCAAAAAUAUUUCUGUUUCUCCCCUGCGAAAUAAAUGCUCAAGAUAUCUUGUUACUACCACUUGCUAUAUUAUUUCAGGAGAUGAGUGCACUAAAAAAAGAGAAAAAAAGAGAAAGAAUACGAGGAAAUAAAAAGGGGCAAGUGCCCGGAACCUCGAAGAAAAGAAAAAGUGAGACGAGAGGUAAAAAUGGACAAGUGUCCGACAGUAGAAUUAGGGGUACAAGAUACCCACCUGAGAGAAACGAAAAAGAAAAUAUAGAGCAUCUCAUUCUCCUUAAAAAGUUUCAAAAGAGCAAGAAAGGUAUGUAUCCCCUCAAAAGAGUACAAGUAGAAUUAGACUUUCACCAUUGUUAUCACCAUCAUCACCAUACACCAUUCAUUCGCCACACAUGCACAUCUUGAUUUGAUUUAUUGACUUGUUCUUCUAGAUCCAUGGUUUGACUAUGCAAUAAAUGUCUUGUAAGUACGUAUUAGCUGUCUCCCACCUAUGAGCUCUAGAUAUCAAAACCUUAUUAGAGUAGGGUGAGAGAGAAGACAAUGCCAUUAUGCCUCAUACCAAAAAUACCACAUACUUUGAGAGAAGGCAUACACCAUUACUGCCUUGGUAAGGUUCCAGAAAUAUCACAAAAGAGAGACUAGAGAGAGUCAUACAAGGAAUCUCUGAGUUUUAUUUGAAAAUCUACAAAAACUCCAGAGCUAUAGUUAAUCGAAGAACAAGAGACAUGGCGCUUGACUAGACCGUUCUAUCUUUUAACUGGUCAAGACACAGGUGACGGUUGCAAGCCCCAUGGUAGAACGUAAAAUGAGUAAGAUUAAAUCUUAACAGUUUACCCUAACCUAGAGAUGAGAUCUUGUUUGAACGCAUGUGUACCUUUAAGGCAUGAAACCACUUCAGAAACACUUGAGUUCAUCUUUGCUCAGGGACGAGCAAAGGUUAAGCUUGGGGGAGCUUGUUGACGGUCCUUAAUGCUCACAUUUAACCAUCAACUAAUCAUAGAAAAGGAUCUAAAUGCAACCAACACCCAGACUUAGGGUUUUAUCUGACAGAAUUCUACGAGUUUUGGUAUUUGUCUAUUUCUGCAGGGGGUUAUCAGGAAAUACGGAAGAAAGGCCCACACGUCGGGUUUACAUAGAGAUAUUAACGUGCCGCACAAUUUUCUAUCAUCUAGAAGACUCCGGAAGCCACGGGACCGAAGCGGAGGCCGAGAGGACUCACGGACAGGGCACCCGCCCUCCUUCCCUGGGCGCCCGCCCUCAGCCAGAGUCCAAUUAGGACUCUCUUUCGGGAUAUUGCUCCACCGACCUAAAGGAUCAAGGAUAACCGUUCAAUCAAUGUCGGUUUGAUCCAACGGCCCAGAUUCACUUGAAGGGACUAUAAAACCAAACCCCCCUGGCACCUGGAGAUCAUACCUCUUCUACAGAAUCAAAGUUAGGCUAUCAAUUCUUCAUCCAAGUAGAGAGGAUCCCUCUAGUUCUUCUAGUUCUACCUCUAGUUCAUCUAGAUCUAGUUCUAGUUCAUCUAGUUCUAGUUCUAGUUCCUCUAGUUCUAGUUUCCUAGCCCCCUUCUCAUCUCUUUCUGUGGUUAGUGCUCUGAUGUCCCGAUAUAGAUAAUCUUGAAGUAAUUCUUGAUUCUUAGAUCAACUAGAGAACUCUCAGGAAACUUCCUCUCUUCCCGCCAAAAAUAAUUAUAUAGUUAUCCUUGGGCGAUCUUGGAUCUUAAUUAGUACACUCACGUUCCCUGUGGAAAAUCGAUACUCUGGAAUACAUCCGGGUGAAAGCUACAUCGGUAUCCGUGUGCUUGCGGAUUUUUCUGUUUGCGUUUAAAAUACCCAACAGGUACUGAUGAUUAGAAUUGCCAAAUUGGCCUUCCUAACCAUCCUUACUUACGAUAUGCAAAGCUGUGGCCCGGCGCCGUGUGGGUGCACAAGGAUUACAAUCUUAAGUAAAGGUACUUAGGUACGCCAAUCGAUAGCUCAGUUAUAGGAAUAAAUUACUCUACAAGCGCACAGAACUAUAUUUGUAGCAUUUCAACCCGUGAGUAUUCAGGGGUGUCGUAUUUAUAAUUUCUUGUAGGAAGGCAUUGUGAACGCAUCUAGCUUUGGUUAUAAACAUGAUUACUUAUUGAAAUGCAUGGUAGACAUAGUAUAAACAGGGGUAAGUAUGUAGUUGAUUUGAUAGCGGACACACAUCAAAGCAACCUCAAGGAAUAAAGGGAAAACAAAGAAUAAAAGAACAACUAUGCGAGCAGGCAUGGUCGUAUACAAGUUAUAUAACAGAUCUGUUAGCAGGUCAUCUAGCUAAUAAGAACAAGUUAGAGCUAAGUCUGAGAUACUGGGGGGAGAUCUCCAUAGCUGGUCUGCCAGCAAAUAGAGACUUUACAUGACUCGUACCGAAUGUCCGAACGUGGGGGAAUAAGAAGGAUGACAGGGCUAUCACCAACCUACCACCUACUCCUCUGCCCGUGGGAUACCUGCAUAUCCUCGGGUCUCCGCAUACCCGAGCACCAUGCCCGUGUAUUUGGAAACACCCCCUAGCCUCCUGGGACCCCAACCCUUCGGAUUGACAGGCUCGGCUAAGGGUGACCAUUACAGCCCAGAGAACCAUUAUCUCAUCCCUAGUUCUUCCUCUAUUCAUAUUAACUUGAUGAACGAUGAAGAACUGUGAUGAACAUAUCAGGAACAUAGAGCUAGAACUAUGAACUAGCUCAUAAAGUAUGAUCAUGAUAUGAACAAGACUAUACUCUAGAUCAAAAGCAUAACUGUAUAAAGAAUAUAAGAACUUGCUCAUGGAGGAAGGCAUAAUUGUAUUCAUACCAAGACACUCUUGAUCCUCCAAGGAGACAAACUCUCCUUGGUAGCUUUGCCUUGCUCUACUACUAGUACUAAACUAAAGAGAACAAGUGUAGAAUGUGAGGUGUGUUGCUCCAAAUGAUAGUGUGUGUUACAAAUGAGAGGGGAGCCAUCUAUUUAUAGCUCAACUAAGAUGGUUUGCGGGAUCUAAAUAUAGUAGUAGGUGAAACUGUCCUAUGCAUGCCCCAUGCAACCGCCAGAAGAAGGUGGGGCCGGGGAACUGCCACCAGGGUUGCGCCCGCAACUUGGGUGGGCCCCCCUAGCUACCACCUUCGCGUGGUCGGUUGUGCUCUAGGCCCUGAUCCUCCUCGUGGUUACGGAUGGGUCCAGUUCAUCUUUUGUGGGCUUUUCUCUAUUGGAGUUGGUUUGCGUCUUUUGUAAAUAUGAAUUCUUGCAUUGCACAUUUCUUGUAUCUUUUGCACUUUUCCACGUGUCAUACCUGAAAAUAGCAUAUAUACCAAAACUCGUGGAAAGAUUAGAUCAAAGCCCUAUUUUUUAUUUAUUUUUAUUUAUAAAAAGAUAUUUAUUUUUAUAUAAUAAGCGUAGCCAACAGUCACCAUAGUUUCUUUGAGUCUUCAAUAAGUGUUCAAAGGUGGCUUUUGAGUUGUAGCACCUCUCUAACUUGUUGCUCAAAUUCUUCACUUCAUUUUGAGCUCAUUGUUCUCCUUCAAAAGGUUAGUCUCAUAGGACAUAGAAUUAGAACAAGUAUUUAUAUAUGAAGAACAUGGCAUAGAUAGUAAAUCAUCACAAGAGGUGGGCACAUGCUUCUUGUCUACAUCACAUGGGUUAGCAACAAUAUAUGAUUGAUCUUUUGACCCAAAUGAUGUGCUCUCACUAGUUUUAAUUUCUUCAUUUGAAAUCUUCUUAGUGAGCAAAGCAUGGUCUUGUACCAAGAUAUCAUGAGCAACAUAAAGUUCCCCAUGAGUCAAUUUUAGCUCCUCUUGUGAACAAGUAGUAACAUAAAGUAGAUGCUUUUAUUGUUCAUAUGUGGUCUUUCGAAAUGAGUUUUCUUUUUUCCAAUUUACUUGUUUUUGCCAACUCAUUUCUUAAAGCUUUUGAAAGUCUACAUACAAGCUCAAAAUUUGGAUCAUCACAAUGAACAAUCACACCACCAAUAAAUACCUUAGGGUCACCAUGUGACAUGAAGCAAUGUGGUGAUGUAGUGGGUAAGCUUGUAGAAGUAUCACUCUCAUAGCCAUCAUCUUCACUAUCAAGUAUGCAUGGAGUAGCAUCAUCAUUUGCAUCACUUGUAGCAUCAUCAUCGGAGAUCACCCCAUAUAUCUUAUUGAGAUAACUCCAAAUCUCAUGAGUGGAUGUCAUAGCCAUGAUCUCACCAAAUAUGUUAUCUUUUAUGGAUGAAUAGAAGAUGUUACUAGCUUAGCAAUUGAGAUGUAGACAUUUCUUUUGCACUUGAGUUACAACAUUUUUAUCAAUUGCACAAGAAAAGCCUACAUCUACGAUCCACCACAUUUGAGGAGAAAUAAACUUAAAAUUGCAUAUCAUCCCAUUUCUCCACUGUGCAAAGGUGUGUGAUGACGACAUCGCCAUGCUGGACAUGUUGACACCAGCGUCUUUUCCAAGUUGCAAUUCAUCUCCAACUCUGCUACCACGUCAAUCUCGGAUUCAGCAGACACAUCGUUAGUGUUCUGAUCAUAACUUCUUCAUACGAAAUCAAAAUGGGGUGAUCUUGGACUUGUUGGAAAGGGGACGACGACACUGUCGUUUUGGAUCUAGUUCCAGCUCCAGAUCGUUCAUGGAUUAAUCAGUAUGACCAUGACAAGGUGCCAUGUCAACUUGUCCAUGUAUCGAGUUCGAGCCUUAAGCCCAAGUUGUGGGUGCCUCCCCUAGGUCGCCUCCAACCUUAGGUCAUCUCUAUUUUAUAUUCCACGCAGUCGCCGCUGUUUAGACUGGGGUUUUGAUUAGAUUUAGUUUUCCAUCGAGAAACUGAAUCGUUCAUUGUAACUAUGGUGACAAAUCCUUUUACAGUGAUCUAGGGCCCCCAUUCUUGAUCUCCUCCAAUGUGUUGAUUAGUCCUUUGGAACCGAGUUCUUGAACCCUCUUCUAAUUGUGUCAUUCAUAUUUGCAAUUUUCGAUUGUGUGUUUUUUAUAUUCUUGCUUGUGUUCUUCGAUUCGCUUGCAGGAACAACCUUCUUGCCGAGGUCAAUCAAGAUGUGCUUGGUUGAUAACUAAUGGAGCAGUGGUGUAACGGUUGCAGGGUUCGAAUCAUUCUAAUUUGAAGCCGGAUUGCCAACGUCGAGUUCUCCACAAUUGAACUUACCGGUUACCUCUCAGAAGAUCGGGUCUGAAUCUUAUCAAUUGGUAUCAGAUAUUUCAGGUUUACUGUGAGAUAUAAUCACGUUUGCCCUAGAUUCAUAUUUGUUCAUUACCUACAGUCCACAAAAAGCCCAAAAAAUAUUUCAAUUUCCGUUGUCCUAUCACCUGUUGUGUCGUGCAAUUUUUUUUUAGAUUUGCUUUGUUGAGUUUGUGUCCGUAGUUGAGUCAAGUUGCUGGCUUAGAUUGUGUCCGUCAUUGUAGUUCAAUUGCACCAUUGCUGUUUCUUUAUUUUCUGCUGCUAUCCCAUCCACAUUCCCAAACAACAAGUCGAAGCCACCACAUUACUCGACUUGCCCCCGCUAGCUGCCUUGUGUGAUCUCUCGCCGCCGCGCUAACCCUAGAUAGGUUGCCAACCGCUAUUAUUAUGUCUACUUCACAGCCCUCCUUACAUCAUCAGACGAAUACCUAUUGUUGUUAAUCAUAGGGAAGAUUCAUCCUGUGAUCGGUGUUAGAGUUUAGGGAUGCUUCACCCAAACUGCCGCCGCCGCCGUGUUGUGCCUUUCGAAAACCAUAACUUGAGAUAUCUGCAUUCGAAUAUUGCUAAUCCUUGCUACUUAUAUUGUGCCUGUCCAAAGCUCCACAUAUACUUCCAUCAGCACAGGUUCAUCUUGCAACUGUUUACCCAUGCUCAACAAUAGAUUGCUUUGUUAAUUUGGUUUAGCUCUUGUUUGGAUUUGGUAAGAACACUUGUAAGAUGGUGGUAAGCCGCUUAUAAUUUUGCAUUCCACUUUCACCACAACCACCACUUGGUUCCUUUUAGUUGAUAGGGAUAAUACUUUGUUGUUCUUUUUCCCUAUUUUCUAAUCAUGGCAGGACCUCCAACGGAUUUCAAUAAUUGUGUGUCCAAGGGUGAACUUACAUCCUUCAUCACUAAACAGCACAAUCUUAUGAACAAACUGACGCACAAUGUAAACAAUCUGGUCACCCGCAUUGAACAGAUUGAGCAACGCCCUCAAUCUCAUCGUGGUGAUGAUGAAGAUGUCAAUGGAGAUCUAUUUGAUCAUGAAGAUGUGGAUGAUGAUGGUGAUGCACGCAACUGUCGCCACUACAACUUCAAACGUCGCAGUAUGGGAGGUAAUAAUCAUGGUAAUAAUGAUCCUUUUGCUAAAAUUAAAGUUAGCCUACCUCCAUUUGUUGGUAAUGUUGAUCCUAAAGUAUACUUAGUGUUAGGUAUUCUUAACAUCAUUAAAAAAAGUAUACUUAGUUUUCUAAUUCUGAUAACGGUGCCAAAAAUGCCAAACCUAUCCCUCAUACCACUUAAGCCAAGUUGUCAUCCCCGGCAUGACAUGAGAGACGUGGUAUUGAAAUAUGCAAUUGCUCUUCUAAAUAAAUAAUGAAUGGGAUCUGCAAGAGCACAGAUUAAUAUCGAUGUAGCAUUUUAACCGGGAAGUGAUUAGCAAUCAUCAAUAUUGAUUACAGAAUGGAAUAUGAGAUUGAGUAUCUAUCAUUGCAUGUAUAAUUGAGAACAUUUAUCCUCUUUCAUACAGGGGUAAGUGUCACAUAAAGGAUAUAUAAAGUAAUGAAUAGUGACAAAGAUAAUUAGUCUGAUCAGCACAACUUAGCCACAUAAUAAAUAUGAUAAGCACCUCAACUACAAGAAUAUUUCCUAUGUUAUUCUCAACUAUAUAGUCUAGCAUUAUCAUAGUUUGUGGAAGUAUACUUAGCAAUCAUUGCGAGACAAGACUAUGCCCAUGCAUAGUGAUAUUAGCAAGGUAAAUGAGAAACAUAGCAAUCACUGCCCUGUAAUAAUGUUGCUCUGCCAGCCCAAUACACGAGAGGGGGACUAUAUAAGAAUCAAUGAAGCCAUCACUAUCACGAACUACCCCACGAUCUGGCAUAUUGGGUACAAUCGUAGAUAAAUACGGUAUAAGCACCACGCCUACACAAUAUCUAUCAUUUACCCAUGGAUCCGAUGGAUAAACGCUAUACGAUCCUAAACAUGUCUAUAGAUCCAAUCUAACUAAGCCAAGUAUAUAACUAUGAUAAACUAAGAACAAUAUAAUCUUGAAUAUAAACAAGUAGAGCAAAGUCAUAAGCAAUAUAUUGAAGUAGAACAAAGUCAUAUUCAUAUUAUUGAACAACAAAGAUGAUUAGAAGAACAAUUAGAAGCACAAUUAGAGAAUUACCAAGAAUCCUCUUGACAGAUCCGGAAACCAAUCGAAGAUUGACUCCUUCUAGUUCUAAUCCUAUGUAGCUAUGCUAAUCUAGAUGUCUAAUUGAUGUGGUGGCUCUAAUCUUGAUCAGAGGCUUCUUCUCCCUUGAGGAAUAAUGAAUUAGGGUUGAGAGGCUCUCUCCUCCAGGGGCCAGGGGGUCUGGUUUUAUAGUCCCUUCAAGUGAAUAUGGGCCGUUGGAUCAAACCGACAUAGAUUGAACGGUUAUCCUUGAUCCUUUAGGUCGGUGGAGAUCUUUCCCGAAAGAGAGUCCUGAUUGGACUCCAACAGGGGGCGGGCACCCAGGUCAACUAGGCGGGCGCCCAGUGCCUGGCCCCGUUCGGCCUCCGCUUCCUUCCCGUGGCUUCUGGAGUCUUCUAGAUGUAAGAUAAUUGCGCGGCACGUUGAUAUCUCUAUGUAAUCCUGACGUGUGGGCCUUUCUUCCGUAUUUCCUGAUAACCCUCUGUAGAAAUAGACAAACACCAAAACUCAUGGAAUUCUAUCAGAUAAAACCCUAAGUCUGGAUGUUGAUUUCAUUUGGAUCAUUUUCUUUGUUUAUUUGACAAUUAAAUUUGACACUUAAGGACCAUCAACAAACUCCCCCAAGCUUACCUCUUGCUCGUCCCUGAGCAAGGAUAGACUCAGUGAUGGAUCAGAAGUUGUUGCAAUGCCGUUAAAAAUUGAUGGUACACAUGCUUUUAAAUAAAAUCUUAUCUCUGAGUUAGAGUAAACUAUCAAGACUUAAAACUUACUUAAUUUACCUUUCACCAUGGGACUUGUAACCGUCACUUCUGUCUUGAGUAGUUAAAAGAUAGAACAGUCUAGUCAAGUGCCAUGUCUCUUAUUCUUGAUCAGCUAUAGUUCUGGAGUUUUUGUAGAUUUUCAAAUAAAACUCAGAGAUUCCUUGUAUGAUUCUCUCAUAUCCCUCUUUUGUGGUAUUUCUGGAUCCUUACCAAGGCAGUGAUGGUAUAUGCCUUCUCUCAAGAUAUGUAGUAUUUGUGGUAUAAGGCAUAGUGACAUUGCCUUCUCUCUCAUCCUACUCUAAUAAUGCUUUAAUAUAUGGAGCUCAUAGGUGGGAGAUAAAGUAUACAUACUCAAAAGACAUUUAUUGUAUAGUCAAACCAUGGAUCCAAAGAAACAAAUCAAUAAGUCAAAUCAAGAUGUGCAUGUGUGGCAAAUGAAUGGUGUAUGGUGAUGAUGGUGAUAACAAUGGUGAAAGUCUAAUUCUACUUUUGCUCUUUUGAUGGGAUACAUACCUUUCUUGCUUUUUGAAACUUUAUGAGGAGAAUGAGAUGCUCUAUAUUUUCUUUUUCUUUCCUCUCAGGUGGAUAUCUUGUACCCCUAAUUCUACUAUCGGACACUUGUCCAUUUUUACCUCUCGUCUCACUUUUACUUUUCUUUCGAGGUUCCGGGCACUGGCCCCUUUUUAUUUCCUCAUAUUUCUUUUUCUUUUCUUCUUUCUUUUAGAGCACUCAUCUCUUGAGAUAAUAUACCAAGUGGUAGUAACAAGAUAACUUAAGCAUUUAUUUCAUAGGGGAAAAACAGAAAUAUUUUUGGCUAUUCUCUCCCGGAUUAGGAGUAGAAUAUUUUUAGGUGAUUCUGGAAAUGGAAAUGAGUGGAUAUAUGUGGAUGGUACUUCCGGAGUGGAAGCAGCAUAUGUGAGUGAACGUGCAAGUGAAUCUUGAUUUAACCACAUGACAAGCUCCUAAGGGUCUACACAGCUUAACCACACUCAAUGCUCAUAAGUAGUAAAAAGUAAAUGUGUGGCUCAAAGUCUAGCAAGCAUGUAUAUAUGGCUGUGGUACGAAUUUAAACUCUCAUCAUACAGGAACUCAUCAUGCAAUAUUUUAGAGAUUUUUCAAAGAUAAAAUUCUCUAGAAUUCUAGCAUCUCUAGGAACCGAUAAAAAGCAGCUCAACCUUCCCAUAUCAUAUCCGUUAACAACUUAGACUUCAGAUCAAGUUUUCUUCCCACAAGUUUAGGUUUAGAGCAAGCUUUAAAUUAUAACAGUUAUGUCUAAACUUGAGAGAGAACUCAAAUUUAAAAAUUAGACAGAGCAACUAUUCAUCAUACCCAUGCUAGAGUUUUAUUAUUAAGAUUUAGAUUAGCAUAGCCACUUUACUUAUUUAUUAAGCAUACUAAGUAAAAGAUAUAUAUAUAUAUAAGCAUAAAAUGUUUAUUUGGUUUUCCAUAGUUAUUUAUAUUUAUAUUUUAAUAUAGUAUAAGUACAAAAAUAGAUAGAUAGAAAUACUUAUCGGGAUAAAUGGGGGUGCUCUCCCCCAAGCUGAAUUUUGACGUAAUUUCCCUUGAUGUAGCUAGCAGGUGGCAGAGGUGUAUUUGAAAGUCAGCAGCAUUCUGACAGCUAUUAGAAUGUCCUCCGUCUGCUAGUCUUCUUGAUUCUUAAAUUCUGUGGAGCUCAAAUAGACAACAAAGCUUGUGGAACUGAUUAAGUGUUAGCAUAAAUAUCUAGCCUUUAUCAUGUUGAGCCUCCUCAAUAAAUGUUACUCCCUAUUUUUAUAUUUUUAUUUUAUAAAACAGAAAAAGAAAUAUUUAUUUUAUUUUUAUGCCACCACAGUGAAUGUACUUAUGGGUUUCAUGCCACUCGUAUACUCACAUGGGGCUUACUGUUUUUUAACAUUUUUAUUUUCUUUUUAGGAUAGUAUGAAUAUGAUUAACUAAGCAAACUAUUUUUAAAUAAUUGAAAGGGAAAGGAUAACUACCAAGUUUGCCUCUUGGCAAGGCGUUCGGUGUUUUUAAGUCCUCCGAACGGGACUCUCCGUCUUCUAGUUUUCCUGGGAUUCGUUGGUUGGCGUAGUCGGUACUUCCGGCAGUGCCUCCUCUUCAUAUAUAAUAAUCUUCUCUUUCCACACCUGACUCGGUGCUACGGUCUCCUCUAGAUAAUUCUGUUUAAACUGUACGUCUUCUGACCUUACAACUUCUCCUUCAUAGUCUGCCCAUCCGUCCUUGAUGAUUUCCCUCCUCUGGUUACGGUUGCGUCGUUUUCUAACCUGCUUAGAUUCUUCAAAGAUGUAGUUAGGGUCAGUAAAAUAAUGGCGUACCUUCUCUGAGGGGAAGUGCAUAUGGACUUCUCUAGUUCCAAUGUAGAUGAUUGCUUUAAUGGUGCUGAGGAAAGAUCUCCCAAGGAUGAUGGGUGGAUCGUAUUCAUCUUCUUCCAUGUCAAUAACCUAAAAGUCUGUGUAGACAAAAUGAUCGUCUAUUUUGACUGGGACAUCAGUUACUGUUCCUUUAACUUCUCGAAAUGUCUGAUCUGCCAUCUGGAGCUGAAUGUAUGUUGGUUUUAGGGGCAUGGUUCCGAACAAGAGCCGAUAGAUGACUACGGCCAUUAUGUUGACGUCCGAUCCGGUGUCGCACGUCGUCUUGUAGAAGUUGUACCCAUUUAUGGAGCAAUAGAUGCUUGGCAUUCCUGGGUCAUCCUUCUUGGUCAAAAAUAGUGACUUAAGUUGAUGAUCUUGACCUCCAUGAUCUGUAGUGACCAUCUUAGCUGACUCGGUCAACAUUUGCUUGUUCCUGUUCCUCCUGUUGGUCCUCUUCCUUGAUUCACGUCUGGAGUUAUCUAGAAUUUGUGUAGUCUUGAUCUUGAAGAAAAAUGUCUCCUUCCUCCCUUUGAUGUAGAAACUGAUCUUGGCAGCACUAGCGUAGAUGACAGCUCCCGAGGUGUUUAAGAAUGGCCUCCCUAAGAUGAUGGGUGCCCUCUCAUCAUUACCGGUCUCUAUCACCAUGAAGUCUGCUGGGGCGUACAAGGUACCAACUUGGACACAGGUUCUUCAAUAUUCCUUUUGGGAAACUUAUCGUCUGAUCUGCAAACAGCAAACACAUGGUUGUUUCUGAUAAAGGAUAUGUAAAGAACUUUUCAUAGAGUACCCUGGGUAUAAUGUUGACGCUAGAGCCAAAGUCGCAGAGUGCUUCUGGGACGUCCACCAUGCCGAUGGAGAUCGGGAUGACGGGGCGUCCUGGAUCGCCUCUCUUGACCGGCAGAAGGUCAGUAGUGAAUUCAGUGACGGGGUUACUCCAAUUAUUACCUGCAUCAAACAUGUCUACAAGAUUUGCAGAUUCUAAUCCUUCCGGUUGUGAUGGUAUACCGGGGUUAGUAGCAGGAACAGUAGCAGCUAUUUGAUUUAACUGAGAUUCAAUCAUUUUAUUAAAGCUAAUUUGAUUCUUGAUGGCACUAGAGAAAUUAUCCAUUCUAUUAUUUAUAUUUCUAGCAUUUUAUCAUUAGAUGCCAAUUUCUUAGAUAGGUUAUCCAUUAGCUUUCCUUGAUUAGACACUAACUCUCUCAAAGGUGGAAAAUUAUUAUUAUUGUUGUAAGAAUUGUUACCUUGAUAAUUACCUGAGUAGUUAGGCCUCUGUUGAUUCCAACCCUGAUUUUGUUGAGGACGGUUGUAGUAGUAGUAGUAGUUGUUGUUGAUGUAGUUCACAUCCUCAAGCAUCUCAGGGCAGUGAUUGCCUGAGUGUCCAGUAUCUCCACACUCCUCACAAGUCAUAUGAGAGUCGUAGAUGUGCAUAAAUUCUUUCUUAUCUCCAGCUCUAUCAUCGAGCUUCUUCAUGAGCAGGUCUAGCUUUGCAGACAACAUGUCUACCUCCUUUAGCUGAUGCAUACUGUUGACGGUCCUUAAGUACCAAAUAUAAUCAUCAAAUAAAUAAAGAAAAGGAUCCAAAUGUAACCAACACCUAGAAUUAGGGUUUUAUCUGACAGAAUUCCACAAGUUUUGGUGUUUGUCUAUUUCUGCAGGGGGUUAUUAGGAAAUAAGGAAGAAAGGCCCACACAUCGGGAUUACAUAGAGAUAUCAAUGCACCGCGCAAUUUUCUACUAUCUAGAAGACUCCAGAAGCCACGGGGAGAAAGCAGAGGCCGAAAGGGACCAGGCCCAGGGCGCCCGCCCUCCUUCCCUAGGCGCCCGCCCUGUGCUGGACUCCGUUCGGGACUCUCUUCGCACACGAUGUUCCACUGACCUAAAGGAUCAAGGAUAACGUAGUACCACAUCGCCUACCGACCCAAAAACGCAUAGAGGAGGAGGACUAUAUAAGGAGACCCCCCUGGCCCCUGGAGAAGACAAGAAGUUAUCAUAGAGAUUGAGGGGUGCCUUCGAUGGAAAACCUCUUCUCUAAAUAAUAUUUCUUUUUAGGCUUAGCAACCAAUGUAAGUAGAAAUAGAUCUUCUAGUUUCUACUAGAUUGAGAGAGAUAGAGUGGAGGUGUAGAUCGGAGGAAGGCCGGCCUGUCGGUGUCUACUCCGAGUUGUACCUGCGGGAUCAAGUCUUCUAACCCGAGGCUUGCUUCUAAGAUUCUUCAGUAAUUCGACUUCUAAUUCUAGUAAGUUCUUGUUUUAUUGUUCUUUGGUUUAUGAGUUGACUUUAAUCCUCUUCCGGUUGAGUAUUAGAGUAAUCAUUGCUAGCGUAAACGUGGUGUUUAGGCUAGGGUACUCAUAGAUAUCCCCUGACUAGCUGGACGGUGGUAGUAGCGAGGAACGUGACAUUUCCGAGUUACCUUUGUAUCCCAUAUCUUGUUAGCAGGACGGGUAGGGUUUAUAGGUGCGGGUCAAACAUCCUUUGUGGUGUCUAGAUUUCGUAAUCUUCCCCAAUAGAACAAUAGAUCAUCCUUACCAAGGUUAGAACGAGACUACGGUUGCAGUCUUCUCUAUACAUCACUCACAUCGAGAAACAUUCAUUGUAGCCUAAAGGGAUAGUAGCAAUAGAUUUGGUUAGUCAGAUGCACCCUUUCUCCCAGUGGUAAAAAUAUAAAUACGAUAACUCUGGAUAACCUCCCGGGUGAAAUGCUCACCGAUAUCCGUGCGCUUGCGGAUCAUUUCCUUAUUGCGUUACCAAAUAUCAACAAGCAUUUCUGGCGCCGUUGCUGGGGAGAAAGACGGUUUGCUGAGAUAACUUUAAGUCUUGCUAUUAUCUUGUAUUAUACUUUUAUUAUUUUAUCUUUUUACUUUUAUCUUUAUGGAUAACUCAAAUUCCAUACCUUUUAUUGAAUUCUUUGCACCUUCGGAGACCAGCCAUAGACCAUGGGAGUCAACAAGUCAUGCCCCUAAUUAUGAUCUGUGUCCGGAGUUGAUUGCAAUAGGUCAAAACCAACCCUUUUCCAUAGCCGAGGUCCUAUCUUUUAAUCAAAAAGAUAAUGCACUUUUAGCUACACCUAGGGAAUCUAUUAAUCUUCCUAUCAAUUCUAGUUUAGACCUAGCCCUACAAGACCAUGUUUUUUCUCGAUAUUUUAACAUUGGUCUUAAUCAUAUAACCUUUGGUAGAGUCUUUCUUUCUUUAUCUAUUAGUAAAGGAAGGUAUGUCUUCAUUCGUGGACAUACUUCUUGCACUAGUAUUCAUAGAAAAAUCUUAGAGAUAGAGAAGGAAUCAUCUCCCAGACAAGGAAAGGAAGUUUCAAUAGCCAAUUUCCAAACAUUUCAAUCCCAUGAUUUGGCUAUCCAACCCAUCCUUGAGCUUAAUAAUUUCUACUAUGCUCUUUCUCUUGAACCUCCCGAUAAUCCUAUAAAUCUCUCUAGACAUCCCUUGCAUAAGAGUCACCAAGACCAUAAGGAGGAUCGAGAAGAGCAACAUCAACAGCUAGAGGGCAUUAAAAAUCUAUGUGCUAUCACCAUUGAAUGGAUAGAUAAAACAAACUUGAGAGACAAUCCUAGAGGAAUUUUAAGCAUUCAUGAAGAAUCAUCCUUGGAGUUUGAGAAUGAGAGAAACAACAGUGAUCAUGGAAGUUAUUUCAUAAAUACCUCACCAAGUUCUUGCUCGUAUAAAAUAUCUCCCCAAUCAAUUGGUCUCUCCAACAUCACCACAUUUGAGAUCUCCAACCCCCUCUUCUUUUCCAUUUAUAAAAAUCUUAAAAGGGCGGUUGUCGAUGCAUAUGUCUAUAAUAAAUAUUGCAAAUCUCGUGGAGUUGAUCUUGAUAUAGGUCAGUGUUGGAGGGGAAACCACUUCGCCGACAUAAUUUGAUGGUUUCCCAAGGACAAGCUUAGUGUCCUAAAACAAGCACUUAUCAGAUCGUAAUAUGAACUUUUAAUUAUUUCUAGCAUUGCCUUGUGUAUUGAGCAUAUAAAGAUGAUUGUAGAAAUAUUCCUUCGGGUAUUCUUGCCACUAACCUUUCCAGGAUUGGAGCAAGAAGAUCGGAUGAAUGACAAGCACAAGGUAUGUCCAACCAACCAUCACACAACAUUGAAUUAAAUUCAUCCAAACUUGAAUUUUGCAAAAUUCAAGCUUGGGGGAAAUACCUUACAUAAAAACAUCAUUUGCCAUGUUGCUAUGUUGGUUAUCCCUACCUUUGAGACAUGCUCAAUUUGUUAAAUACUAAUCACACUACUUCAUCUCCACUUGAGUAGAUCUCUAUAAAUGCCAUCAUGCUACCUUUGUUUAUCCUAGUAAGUGUUGGUUUGGAAGUACUCGACAUACUUCCAUUGGCAUUUAAAUUAAGCAUGGUGCUUAGGUUAAACAGCCUUCCUUAAUCUGAUUAGACAUGGAGUCUAGUUUGGUUAUUGAACUAAAAACUGCUUGUGUAGACAUUGGUAUAUUUUGUCAGACUAACCCCUGCAGAAAAACUUUCAAUAUCAAUUUGGGAAGUCCUGAGAUACAAACUCACAUUGGAGAUAAAGGAGACACAUGAAAUUUAACGACUUGCACAAGGAAGACAUAGCUCAUUCAUCAUAAAGAGAUGAUCCAUGGAGGGUGCCACAAACACGAUGCACAACCGCUAAGAAAGGAAAGCUUCCACAAGGUGAUACUAUACCAUCACUCUUCAAGUAAGGUAACACCUUAAGGUACUUGACUAUCGCUUUUAUAAGCUUCUCCUUGGUUCUGGCAUACACAUGAAUAAAAGAGACAAACAUGUAUGAUUUGUAGCUCCAAAUUAACCAACCAAAUUAAUUCAACAUGUUUAGUCCUUUAAUCUUUGUUCUUAGUACUACCUU